UACGAUAUUGAAAAAUGUUGA
RNAcentral lists this non-coding RNA (21 nucleotides) under Caenorhabditis elegans. The record is from RNAcentral. Lineage: Eukaryota; Metazoa; Nematoda; Chromadorea; Rhabditida; Rhabditidae.